GAUGAACGCUGGCGGCGUGCCUAAUACAUGCAAGUCGAGCGAAUGGAUUAAGAGCUUGCUCUUAUGAAGUUAGCGGCGGACGGGUGAGUAACACGUGGGUAACCUGCCCAUAAUACUGGGAUAACACCGGGAAACCGGGGCUAAUACCGGAUAACAUUUUGAACCGCAUGGUUCGAAAUUGAAAGGCGGCAUCGUCUGUACCUUAUGGAUGGACCUGCGUCGCAUUAGCUAGUUGGGGAGGUAACGGCUCACGAAGGGAACGAUGCGUAGCCGACCUGAGAGGGUGAUCGGCCACACUGGGACUGGGACACGGCCCAGACUCCUACGGGAGGCAGCAGUAGGGAAUCUUCCGCAAUGGACGAAAGUCUGACGGAGCAACGCCGCGUGAGUGAUGAAGGCUUUCGGGUCGUAAAACUCUGUUGUUAGGGAAGAACAAGUGCUAGUUGAAUAAGCUUGCACCUUGACGGUACCUAACCAGAAAGCCACGGCUAACUACGUGCCAGCCGCCGCAGUAA
This 515-nucleotide ribosomal RNA is filed under the name uncultured bacterium. RNAcentral's name for it is "partial 16S ribosomal RNA". It matches the Rfam family "Bacterial small subunit ribosomal RNA", at positions 28 to 523 of the family's 1533-position model. The record is from RNAcentral.